GAUGAACGCUGGCGGCGUGCCUAAUACAUGCAAGUCGAGCGAACGGACGAGAAGCGUGCUUCACUGAUGUUAGCGGCUGACGGGUGAGUAACACGUGGAUAACCUACCUAUAAGUCUGGGAUAACUUCGGGAAACCGGUGCUAAUACCGGAUCAUAUUUUGAACGGCAUGGUUAAAAAGUGAAAGACGGUCUUGCUGUCACUUAUAGAUGGAUCCGCGCUGCAUUAGCUAGUUGGUAAGGUAACGGCUUACCAAGGCAACGAUGCAUAGCCGACCUGAGAGGGUGAUCGGCCACACUGGAACUGAGACACGGUCCAGACUCCUACGGGAGGCAGCAGUAGGGAAUCUUCCGCAAUGGGCGAAAGCCUGACGGAGCAACGCCGCGUGAGUGAUGAAGGUCUUCGGAUCGUAAAACUCUGUUAUUAGGGAAGAACAUAUGUGUAAAUAACUGUGCACAUCUUGACGGUACCUAAUCAGAAAGCCACGGCUAACUGCGUG
Molecule: ribosomal RNA, 497 nt
Filed under: uncultured bacterium
Lineage: Bacteria
Description: partial 16S ribosomal RNA
Rfam family: Bacterial small subunit ribosomal RNA
Source: RNAcentral